Molecule: ribosomal RNA, 467 nt
Filed under: uncultured bacterium
Lineage: Bacteria
Description: partial 16S ribosomal RNA
Rfam family: Bacterial small subunit ribosomal RNA
Source: RNAcentral
ACGCACGCUGGCGGCGUGCUUCACCCAUGCAAGUCGCACGGGAAGGCCCUGCUUUUGUGGGGUGCUCGAGUGGCGAACGGGUGAGUAACACGUGAGUAACCUGCCCUUGACUUUGGGAUAACUUCAGGAAACUGGGGCUAAUACCGGAUAGGCGCUCCUGCUGCAUGGUGGGGGUUGGAAAGUUUCGGCGGUUGGGGAUGGACUCGCGGCUUAUCAGCUUGUUGGUGGGGUAGUGGCUUACCAAGGCUUUGACGGGUAGCCGGCCUGAGAGGGUGACCGGCCACAUUGGGACUGAGAUACGGCCCAGACUCCUACGGGAGGCAGCAGUGGGGAAUAUUGCACAAUGGGCGGAAGCCUGAUGCAGCAACGCCGCGUGCGGGAUGACGGCCUUCGGGUUGUAAACCGCUUUCGCCUGUGACGAAGCGUGAGUGACGGUAAUGGGUAAAGAAGCACCGGCUAACUACGUG